CGCGCGCGAUACUGGCAUUAACUCUCACUAACAAGUACAUAAACAACAACAUCAAGUUCUUGUCGAUGAUAAAUUGUACUGUCAUUGAUUACUGCGUUUAUCAAAAUUGUUAUAGUCAGAUGUUUCCCUUGCUAGAGGCCUCAAAAGGAAAUGUCGUCAUUGGCCUGAUCACUGCAUGUUUGCAUACAUGAGAAUUGGAAAUAAGAAUGUGAAAAUAAGAACGAUUUCAAAUGAAACAUAUAUACACAACACAGAUAAUAUCGGUUUUCGAUGUCGCAAUAAUAUCAGGUCGACGGUUUCUGCUUUGGGAUUUCUAGUGAAACUCAUCUUGCAUAAUCAUUAUGCAAAUAGUAAGUACCUAAACAUUUAAAAAUAUAAUGAAAUAUAUUUUUUACAUAUUUAUAAUGAUAAUUCUUACUUAUAUAUAAGUAAGGACUGUAAAUGCAAAUACAAAGUACGUAUUUUUAUAAAAGCAAUUUAAUCCAUUACCAUCAUGACAUAAAAAAUAAUUUUCUUAAAGAAAAAAUUAUUUGUGCUCCUAAAA
Molecule: long non-coding RNA, 544 nt
Organism: Bombus impatiens (common eastern bumble bee)
Lineage: Eukaryota; Metazoa; Arthropoda; Insecta; Hymenoptera; Apidae
Exons: 2
Source: RefSeq, a predicted model, not a curated record